GAAGUAGACCAGGCAGUCGCUGUUCCGGCCUUCGGGUCGGAAGAGAGGAAAGUCCGGGCUCCACAGGGCAGGAUACUCCGUAACGCGGAGUGGGGGCGACCCUAAGGAAAGUGCCACAGAAAAGACACAGCCCACCCGGAGAAGUCCGCUUCCCCGGCGGCAAAGGUGAAAAGGUGGGGUAAGAGCCCACCAGUACUCCCGGUGACGGGAGUAGCUUGGUA
This 221-nucleotide RNase P RNA is filed under the name Nitrospinota bacterium. RNAcentral describes it as "partial RNase P RNA component class A". It matches the Rfam family "Bacterial RNase P class A", at positions 1 to 208 of the family's 367-position model. Rfam says of the family: Ribonuclease P (RNase P) is a ubiquitous endoribonuclease, found in archaea, bacteria and eukarya as well as chloroplasts and mitochondria. Its best characterised activity is the generation of mature 5'-ends of tRNAs by cleaving the 5'-leader elements of precursor-tRNAs. Lineage: Bacteria; Pseudomonadati; Nitrospinota. The record is from RNAcentral.